RNAcentral lists this non-coding RNA (30 nucleotides) under Rattus norvegicus (Norway rat). The record is from RNAcentral. Lineage: Eukaryota; Metazoa; Chordata; Mammalia; Rodentia; Muridae.
UGGGAUUACAGACCUGGUACAACACUCUUG